This 241-nucleotide ribosomal RNA is filed under the name uncultured Actinomycetales bacterium. RNAcentral's name for it is "partial 16S ribosomal RNA". It matches the Rfam family "Bacterial small subunit ribosomal RNA", at positions 89 to 334 of the family's 1533-position model. Lineage: Bacteria; Bacillati; Actinomycetota; Actinomycetes; Actinomycetales. The record is from RNAcentral.
ACUCGAGUGGCGAACGGGUGAGUAACACGUGGGUGAUCUGCCCUGCACUUCGGGAUAAGCUUGGGAAACUGGGUCUAAUACCGGAUAGGAGCCAUUUUUAGUGUGAUGGUUGGAAAGUUUUUCGGUGUAGGAUGAGCUCGCGGCCUACCAGCUUGUUGGUGGGGUAAUGGCCUACCAAGGCGGCGACGGGUAGCCGGCCUGAGAGGGUGGACGGCCACAUUGGGACUGAGAUACGGCCCAG